GACGAACGCUGGCGGCGCGCUUAACACAUGCAAGUCGAACGGAAACGCGCUGGUUUUGUGGGUUGCUCGAGCGGCGAACGGGCGAGUAACACGUGCGUAACCUGCCCCUGACUUUGGGAUAACUACAGGAAACAGGGGCUAAUAACGGAUAGGAGCUCCUGCUGCAGGGAGGGGGUUGGAAAGAUUCGGCGGAUGUGGAUGGAUUCGCGGCUGCUCAGCUUGUGGGUGGAGGAGUGGCUUACCAAGGCUUUGACGGAGAGCCGUCCUUAGAAGGUGACCGGCGACAUUGGUACUGAGGUACGGCCCAGACUCGAACAGGGGACAGCAGUGGGAAAUAUUGCACAGUGGGCGGGAGCGUGAUGCGGCGACGUCGCGUGCGGGAUGCCGGCCAUCGGGUGAGAAACCGCGAUGGCCUGAGACGGAGCGUAAGUGACGUUAGUGAGUGAAGAAGCACCGGCUAACUACGUG
RNAcentral lists this ribosomal RNA (468 nucleotides) under uncultured bacterium. RNAcentral describes it as "partial 16S ribosomal RNA". It matches the Rfam family "Bacterial small subunit ribosomal RNA", at positions 28 to 507 of the family's 1533-position model. The record is from RNAcentral.